Molecule: long non-coding RNA, 1365 nt
Filed under: Anas platyrhynchos platyrhynchos (common mallard)
Lineage: Eukaryota; Metazoa; Chordata; Aves; Anseriformes; Anatidae
Description: lncRNA (ENSAPLG00000020535.1)
Source: RNAcentral
UUCCCUGGAUUCACCGAGUGAAUGAAGUGGUGAAUAUCUAAACAGUAUUAGUGAGAAAAGAGCAUUGACCUGAGCUGUGCUGACAUUGGGUUGGUCCUGGUGAUUUCAAAGAAUCGAGCAUCACACUCAGGGAUUGCUUUUAAUCUGGAUCCAGUUCAGGGAAAUGAACAUCCUGAAAGAAGCUUUAAACUGCUUCCACAGCCAGACAAGAAUUAGAUUUGUGGAAACUUUUGAACCAUAUACAGAUGUCUUUUGCAUAAGGAAGAACAUCUUGCAUGAAGCAGAGAUCUUGGCUUCUCUAGAACCUCUGACGCCUUUUACAAACAGGAUUGGUAUGGACAAAGUCCAUAGUGAAGUGGUCCAUGGUUUCCUGUGCUGCACAGUGCCUCAUGAAACAGCCGUGGUGGGUGAAGGAAGGACAGAUGGAGCAGAACAGAUCUGGGAAAGAUCUGCGCUGGUUCAAGGUUGUGGAUGUGCCGGGUUGUCUGAGCGUGUACAGCUCCCGUUGCCAUGAAGGAUGUGCUUGGAGUCACUAUUUUUAACACCUGUGGAAACAAGUGUUAGCAUGAAGGCACAUUCCAGUUUCUGUGUUCCUACAAACGCACCUCAUCUACCUCCACCAACACAGACAACCAAAUAUAAAUACUAAUUGAUACAAAUAUAAAUAGUGUUUAUAUUUUAUAUUCCUUCAAACCCUGCUUAAAAUGUCCUCUGUUGUAGCUUUUUGGUAUUCCUCCUCUCCUCAUCAAAUACCUCUUCUUCUUGUUCCAAUGGAAAAAAGCAAAACAGACCCAUUUUGUGCUGGGAUUUUAGAUGCUGGAUGCCUGCAAAACUGCCUUCUCAGCCAUGUGGCUGAGACCUCAAAGCUGAAGAACGCGUCCUUCAUACUCAGUUGCUGAGGCACUGGGGAUUUCUUAUGCGGAAGGAUUUUUUAACUAAAUGUAUAAAUCUUUUGGUAUUCAGGUGCUGCAGGAAGAGCUCCCACGUGCAUUUAUUUAACAUUAAGGUCCGUUAUAACUUCCACUCUGGCGUGAAGGAUAGGUUCAAUUACUUCCUGAUUUACGUAAAAAGCACUUAGAUUGUCUUAAGCAUCGUGAAAAAAAAAAAAAGUUUUUGUUUCAUAUAUCUCAAUUUCAGUAAAUUAUUCAUGUGAAUUUCAUUUUGACCAAAAGAAAGAUUUGUCCAAGCUGGAGAUCACCUUGCAUUUCAUGAGCUCUAUAUACCUGGAGGCCUCGAGUUGCAUCGCACACCCAGCAAGGUCAGUGCUUCUCCAGCUGUCACCGCACCUUGCAGCACCGACCUGUUUCUGGUGGCCAUGGAAGUGCUGGGAAUAAAAAAUAAAUCCAGAUUUCUAAACCUGGUUUC